This 447-nucleotide ribosomal RNA is filed under the name uncultured bacterium. Its description in RNAcentral is "bacterial SSU rRNA". It matches the Rfam family "Bacterial small subunit ribosomal RNA", at positions 355 to 825 of the family's 1533-position model. The record is from RNAcentral.
UCGGGAAUUUUGGGCAAUGGGCGCAAGCCUGAUCCAGCCAUGCCGCGUGAGUGAAGAAGGCCUUCGGGUUGUAAAGCUCUUUUACCAGGGACGAUAAUGACGGUACCUGGAGAAUAAGCCCCGGCAAACUUCGUGCCAGCAGCCGCGGUAAUACGAAGGGGGCUAGCGUUGUUCGGAAUUACUGGGCGUAAAGCGCACGUAGGCGGAUUGUUAAGUCAGAGGUGAAAUCCCGGAGCUCAACUUCGGAACUGCCUUUGAUACUGGCAAUCUAGAGUCCGGAAGAGGUUAGUGGAAUUCCCAGUGUAGAGGUGAAAUUCGUAGAUAUUGGGAAGAACACCAGUGGCGAAGGCGGCUAACUGGUCCGGUACUGACGCUGAGGUGCGAAAGCGUGGGGAGCAAACAGGAUUAGAUACCCUAGUAGUCCCUGAGCGGGCUGGCAAGGCGCAU